RNAcentral lists this ribosomal RNA (468 nucleotides) under uncultured bacterium. Its description in RNAcentral is "partial 16S ribosomal RNA". It matches the Rfam family "Bacterial small subunit ribosomal RNA", at positions 28 to 507 of the family's 1533-position model. The record is from RNAcentral.
GACGAACGCUGGCGGCGUGCUUAACACAUGCAAGUCGAACGGAAAGGCCCUGCUUUUGUGGGGUGCUCGAGUGGCGAACGGGUGAGUAACACGUGAGUAGCCUGCCCUUGACUUUGGGAUAACUUCAGGAAACUGGGGCUAAUACCGGAUAGGAGCUCCUGCUGCAUGGUGGGGGUUGGAAAGUUUCGGCGGUUGGGGAUGGACUCGCGGCUUAUCAGCUUGUUGGUGGGGUAGUGGCUUACCGAGGCUUUGACGGGUAGCCGGCCUGAGAGGGUGACCGGCCACAUUGGGACUGAGAUACGGCCCAGACGCCUACGGGAGGCAGCAGUGGGGAAUAUUGCACAAUGGGCGGAAGCCUGAUGCAGCAACGCCGCGUGCGGGAUGACGGCCUUCGGGUUGUAAACCGCUUUCGCCUGUGACGAAGCGGGAGUGACGGUAAUGGGUAAAGAAGCACCGGCUAACUACGUG